UGAGACCAGCCCACAGUGGUGCCCAUGAGAGAGAGCCCCAGCAGUGUCCACCACACUGACCGUGAGACCGGCCCACAGUGGUGCCCAUGAGAGAGAGCCCCAGCAGUGUCCACCACACUGACCGUGAGACCGGCCCACAGUGGAGCCCACUGCAAGCUCUGCUAGCAGGGUGACAGUACUGCUGAGGUGCAGCUGUGGAGACCUUGGCCUUUGCUCAGCUGGUCUGCGACCUGCACACACACAGCUGCUCAGGUGCGGCUCGUGAUCCUCUCUGCCCGGCCUGGCGUUGGGGGCUGAUACUCGCUGUGGCACGAGGCCCCGACUCCUGCAUCGCUUCGGCCUGGCUGUCUGCUGACCUGCUCUCAGGCUCUUUCCUCUUCCCUUCACAGUUCAGAAGCAGCGGAGAGUCGCAGUGGUCCAGCCGGAGAAACACAGAGCUCCUCCUCGGAACACGCGCCCCGACGCCCUGAGGCAGCAGGAAAACGGCCAGUCGGAGAGCGGUAAGUUUCGCGCAUCUGACACUGCUGACUUCCUUCUUACUGUCCCAGCAGGGAAAUCAGCCUUGCAGGCAGGUCAAGGACGUAGCAACACACUCAAUAUAACACGAGCCUGUUCACAAGUAAGAGCCAUGCCUGUAUGAUGAGGAAGCAGAAGGGCUUUGCAAAUAAAAGUAAACUACACAACCAGUUGUUCAGAUUAAGUAGGUUAAUAGCUGUGGGGAUGAGAGAACCCAGUUGCAUUGGAAUCUAGGCCGUCUGAGUC
RNAcentral lists this long non-coding RNA (762 nucleotides) under Lepisosteus oculatus (spotted gar). RNAcentral describes it as "lncRNA (ENSLOCG00000023189.1)". The record is from RNAcentral. Lineage: Eukaryota; Metazoa; Chordata; Actinopteri; Semionotiformes; Lepisosteidae.